UUUCGAUAAUGGCAAACUUGAUGAAAAUCAGGGACGCAAAGCCACGGGCCUACGGGAAAUUCUAUGGCAGCCGGGUUACCGAA
RNAcentral lists this non-coding RNA (83 nucleotides) under Bacillus sp. (in: firmicutes). RNAcentral describes it as "Bacillus sp. c-di-GMP sequence". It matches the Rfam family "c-di-GMP-I riboswitch aptamer". From Rfam's summary of the family: GEMM was predicted in a large-scale screen for bacterial structured RNA regulatory elements. Genes associated with GEMM are involved in a diverse array of functions, including chemotaxis regulation, signal transduction, secretion and chitin. The record is from RNAcentral. Lineage: Bacteria; Bacillati; Bacillota; Bacilli; Caryophanales; Bacillaceae.